Molecule: long non-coding RNA, 2769 nt
Organism: Pyrus x bretschneideri (Chinese white pear)
Lineage: Eukaryota; Viridiplantae; Streptophyta; Magnoliopsida; Rosales; Rosaceae
Exons: 7
Source: RefSeq, a predicted model, not a curated record
AUUAGAAAACAUGACUCAAGAGAGAAAUAACAAGUCUGUCACGUAUUAGAAAAUUAGUUUUGCCUAGUGAUCGAAAUCAUUACAGGAAUAAAAACUAGAAUCCGACUUUGGAAGAACUUCCAUUCUCUUCUAAAACAGCUUCCACUAGCGAAAGUCGUUCUUGCAGAUGUUUAAUUGCAUAUAGCAAUGGAAAAAGAUAAUAGGUCAGAGAUUAAUAGUUUACACCCAUUUUUCAAACACAAUGGUUGUUUGUUUUGAACCUACACCAUGUUCACCCUAUAUCAGUAGUUUCCUAGUCACACCAGCAUAAACAACAGAUAUGAGUUUGAUAAAAAAAUAAAAAAAUAAAAAUUGGUAGAUUUGUGUAUGCCCCCUUGGGAACUAAUUCUAUGUGGAAUUUUGUUGUAUGGGCUAUGGAGUAAAUACAUGUUGCAUGACGUGACUUAUUCGAGUUCAUUAGAGGGUCAUGGCGAUGCCCAUGGAAGUACAAGCUCAGGUUGCAGAUUUCAGAGUGGAUGAAUAAGAAGGGAUAUGCAUAUUUUCGCCGGUUGAGCAUGCCGUGCAGCUGGAUUUGAUUGGGAAGGAGGAAUUUUGCACCAAUUGCUGUGAAAUGAAGCCAGUUUGAGUCUGUGGGUCGAAUGGUAUUGGACAUUGUUGCAUCAUGGAGCAUGUGAUUGCUGGGAAGUUUAAGCUGGGGAGGAAGAUUGGGAGUGGGUCUUCAGAGAACUCUAUUUAGGUGUAAAUGUACACAGUGGGGAGGAGGUGACUGUUAAGCUGUUUCAGGGCAUUUUGCAUUUGAAGGAUUUGAAACUGAUGUAAGCUAAAUGGGUGUGAAACAAGAUGGUGGCACUAUACUGUGCCUGCAAUGGAACAGUAGAAGAUUUCUGAUGAGUUAGAUAAGAGAGUGAAGAAGUUUCUUAGAGGAGCAGAAGCAAACUUGGAGGGCUUGAAAGAUAAGAAAUCGAAGGGUCAACUUGCUGUUAGAGAAGAAUUGUAUGGAAAAUCUGCACAAGCUGCUGCCAAGGCUGGGAAGACAGUUAAAGCUGCCAUGCUUGGUGAGAUAAUAAAUUACUUGAAGUUAAGGCUCCAAGUAAAGGUAGAGUUGUUUCAACUAUAAUGCAUGUUUUCUUUUUCACUUGAAUGAUAGAAUUCCGAAUUACUCAAUCCUCUCAUCUAUGUCUAUUGUAUUACAUUCAAUUAUUUGCUGCAACUUUUCUGUUCUUAAUAUGGUCAUUAAUUUUAAACGAUUGUUAUUCCAUACAAGCUUACUUUCCUUUGAUAUUAACAUUUUCUGAUAAAAUGGUAGAAAUCCACUUGCAUUUGACAAAUAAUUGUCAUCAUUAUAGCAGUACAAUGCACAUCCACAUAAUUGGGCAUAGUAAAGAAAAAAUUGAAUGCUUCUUAUAGACAUUUUUUUUCAGUACUCCCAAACCUUCUUGCAUUGUACAAAAGGUUCGGAAUUUCUUUUUAAAUGUGUCAAUACAUUAUUAUUAUUUUUUCUUUUGUGCUUUGGCAAUAUGACUUAUCUUGCCAAAAGAUGUAUGUGGGUUUUGAGGGUUCAGGGAUCCCCUUUUCUCAAGAUGACUGGAUUGGUCCUUACCUCCAUGUGUUGUUCAGCCUAUUGAGAGCUGGUAUGCAUGAGAACUUUAAGUAAUCAUUGCCAUAAAAAGUAGAAGGGAUGACUCACACCAGGAAUCAGUUAUCUCAUCAGCAGCUUUAUUUUUAUCUAAGAUCGAAUUUGAUACUUGUAGGUGUAUACAGAUUAAGUCGAUUGUUAAGAUGGCAAUUUAAUCACUUUUCAACGUCCGAUGUCUUCAUCCUCCCUAUUCUGGAUUUUUACUUACUUGAAAUGAAUAGAUUCUAGGCAUUACGUUUAGCAAAAUGAGCAAUGGAUGCUAACUCAUUUUUUUUUACAUUCACAGCAAUAUGGGCACUUUUCUUGGCAAUAUAGUGCUUAGCUUAAAAUUAGAAUGUGAUUCAGUUGUAUUGAAUUUGUUCGAUUAACCAUUGGUCCAUUUAUAGUUCAUUUAAUCUUUUGAAUUAGUAAGCUAUUGUGUUGUGUCCUUUAGAUUUCUUAGCAUGCUAUUGAUAUGGAAAACAUCAUCUAUCUGUUCUAUUUAUCGCAUGAUAUAAGAAUCAAAGUAGACUUGGCAUCCCUUUUGUGGCCUUUUUUGUGUUAGCAGAUGCCAUCAGAAAGACAAAAACAUAUCGGCUACAAAGUGCAAUGAAUGCUACGGGUUACUAAGUUUUUCCAUAUGCUUUCAUUGUGGCAUUGCCCUUUCUGCGACAAGUAAGCAUUAUAAUUUCACUUUGUGGAAUGAUAUUAAGUUAACUUAUGGAAUAAUAUAGGGUUGUGUCAUGCAUGAAAACUGUGAAUCCAUUUCAUCAUGCAUUUUUUAGUUAAACUACUACGUUUUUCUUCAAUUGACUGCAACUCAUGCCGCAGUUUGCUUCACAAACCUCUACGGUUAGCUUCCAUAUAGUAUAUUGCAAGUUUGAGGAUAUCUCUACAUCUUAAUUUCUGCUCUCUUUGGCUGCUUCAAGUUUGUAAUUUUAAGUGCUACACUGCCACUUGAUUUGAUUAUAAAAAUGUAAAACAAAAUCCGUCCAUAAUUUACAAAUUUGUAUUCGAUUUUUGAUGUUUUUCCAGUGUAAGGCAUAUGUUGCACAAGCAUGUAAAUGGUACAAAUUAUUUGGUUUUGGACAGUAAGCUUUGAGUUUUACAAUCCUUGCGAGGGGAUUGUGACUCAGGUGAACAAAUUUACUGUA